AUUCUACAUACAUAAGCGGAGGAAAAGAAACUAACAAGGAUUCCCUAGUAACUGCGAGUGAAGCGGGAAAAGCUCAAAUUUAAAAUCUGGCGGUCUCUGGCCGUCCGAGUUGUAAUCUAGAGAAGUAAUGCCCGUGCUGGACCGUGUAUAAGUCUCCUGGGAUGGGGCGUCAUAGAGGGUGAGAAUCCCGUCUUUGACACGGACUACCAGUGCRUUGUGGUAUGCUCUCAAAGAGUCGAGUUGUUUGGGAAUGCAGCUCAAAAUGGGUGGUAAAUUCCAUCUAAAGCUAAAUAUUGGCGAGAGACCGAUAGCGAACAAGUACCGUGAGGGAAAGAUGAAAAGAACUUUGGAAAGAGAGUUAAACAGUACGUGAAAUUGCUGAAAGGGAAACGCUUGAAGUCAGUCGCGUUGGCCGGGGAUCAGCCUUGCUUUUGCAUGGUGUACUUUCUGGUUGACGGGUCAGCAUCAAUUUUGACCGCUGGAAAAAGACCUGGGGAAUGUGGCAGCUUCGGCUGUGUUAUAGCCCCUAGUCGCAUACAGUGGUUGGGAUUGAGGAACUCAGCACGCCGCAAGGCCGGGUUUCGACCACGUUCGUGCUUAGGAUGCUGGCAUAAUGGCUUUAAGCGACCCGUCUUGAAACACGGACCAAGGAGUCUAACAUGCCUGCGAGUAUUUGGGUGGAAAACCCAAGUGCGUAAUGAAAGUGAAAGUUGAGAUCCCUGUCGUGGGGAGCAUCGACGCCCGGACCAGAACUUUUGGGACGGAUCCGCGGUGGAGCAUGUAUGUUGGGACCCGAAAGAUGGUGAACUAUGCCUGAAUAGGGUGAAGCCAGAGGAAACUCUGGUGGAGGCUCGUAGCGAUUCUGACGUGCAAAUCGAUCGUCAAAUUUGGGUAUAGGGGCGAAAGACUAAUCGAACCAUCAUGCUA
This 927-nucleotide ribosomal RNA is filed under the name Agaricus augustus. RNAcentral describes it as "partial large subunit ribosomal RNA". Lineage: Eukaryota; Fungi; Basidiomycota; Agaricomycetes; Agaricales; Agaricaceae. The record is from RNAcentral.